This 73-nucleotide transfer RNA is filed under the name Aedes aegypti (yellow fever mosquito). It matches the Rfam family "tRNA". From Rfam's summary of the family: Transfer RNA (tRNA) molecules are approximately 80 nucleotides in length. Their secondary structure includes four short double-helical elements and three loops (D, anti-codon, and T loops). Lineage: Eukaryota; Metazoa; Arthropoda; Insecta; Diptera; Culicidae. The record is from Rfam by way of RNAcentral.
GGGUUGGUGGUCUAAUGGCUACUGUUUCUGCUUCAUAAGCAGAAGGUCAUGGGUUCAAUCCCAGUCCCAUCCC